GACGAACGCUGGCGGCGUGCUUAACACAUGCAAGUCGAACGGAAAGGCCCUGCUUUUGUGGGGUGCUCGAGUGGCGAACGGGUGAGUAACACGUGAGUAACCUGCCCUUGACUUUGGGAUAACUUCAGGAAACUGGGGCUAAUACCGGAUAGGAGCUCCUGCUGCAUGGUGGGGGUUGGAAAGUUUCGGCGGUUGGGGAUGGACUCGCGGCUUAUCAGCUUGUUGGUGGGGUAGUGGCUUACCAAGGCUUUGACGGGUAGCCGGCCUGCGAGGGUGACCGGCCACAUUGGGACUGGGAAACGGCCCAGACUCCUACGGGAGGCAGCAGUGGGGAAUAUUGCACAAUGGGCGGAAGCCUGAUGCAGCAACGCCGCGUGCGGGAUGACGGCCUUCGGGUUGUAAACCGCUUUCGCCUGUGACGAAGCGUGAGUGACGGUAAUGGGUAAAGAAGCACCGGCUAACUACGUG
RNAcentral lists this ribosomal RNA (468 nucleotides) under uncultured bacterium. RNAcentral describes it as "partial 16S ribosomal RNA". It matches the Rfam family "Bacterial small subunit ribosomal RNA", at positions 28 to 507 of the family's 1533-position model. The record is from RNAcentral.